AGAUCUGUGUUCUCUUCUUAUAAGGAGACUCUCCCUUAUUAUCCAAUAUGCAACCUUUUCGAUCAAUUCAGGAGAUAUUGCUGCUUGAUCAAUGAGACUUAUCUCCUUCACGUGCAUCUCACAUGUAUAGGUUGACAAACAAUGUGCUUCACCUGAUGGACUUGGUCCAUGACUGAGUUCCUAUUUCAUUCUUCAAAACUACACCUGUUCUUGGGCCGACAAAUUUCCCCUUUUGAUGAUGACAAAAUCUGUGCUUUUUACUGAUCAAAGACCCUGUAAGAACUCAGCUUACACCCUGUAAGAACUCGGCUUAGACCAUGUAAGAACUCAGC
This 332-nucleotide long non-coding RNA is filed under the name Nicotiana benthamiana. RNAcentral describes it as "long non-coding RNA (NBEN_LNC020050)". Lineage: Eukaryota; Viridiplantae; Streptophyta; Magnoliopsida; Solanales; Solanaceae. The record is from RNAcentral.